Molecule: unclassified non-coding RNA, 391 nt
Filed under: soil metagenome
Description: partial contains 5.8S ribosomal RNA, internal transcribed spacer 2, and large subunit ribosomal RNA
Rfam family: 5.8S ribosomal RNA (bases 1-122)
Source: RNAcentral
GAUGAAGAACGUAGUGAAAUGCGAUACUUGGUGUGAAUUGCAGAAUCCCGUGAACCAUCGAGUCUUUGAACGCAAGUUGCGCCCGAAGCCAUUAGGCCGAGGGCACGCCUGCCUGGGCGUCACACGUCGUUGCCCCCCCACCUACUCCUUCGGGAUUGCGGGGGGCGGAUGAUGGCCUCUCGUGCGCCUCGUCGCGCGGUUGGCCUAAAUGCCAAGUCCUCGGCGACGCACGCCACGACAAUCGGUGGUUGCGAAACCUCGGUUGCCUGUCGUGUGCGGUCGUCGCGCAUCGAGGGCUCGAAAAAAUUGCCGGGCUUCGGCUCGACUUUCAACGCGACCCCAGGUCAGGCGGGGUUACCCGCUGAAUUUAAGCAUAUCAAUAAGCGGAGGA